Small nucleolar RNA from Homo sapiens (human), 242 nucleotides. The record is from RefSeq and is marked validated. Lineage: Eukaryota; Metazoa; Chordata; Mammalia; Primates; Hominidae.
CCUCCCACCUCCCAGCAUCCUACAGGUGCGGCUGGGUCAGGACAUGGGAUCCCCACUCUAUAUGCAGGAAUGGGGCCACAGAGGUCGGGGAAGAGCAGGUGCCACCAGCACGACCGAUUCGGUCCUGGAAGCUCAGGCCACCUGUCCCUUGCAGCAGGUCCAAGUGUGGCGGUCCAGGGCUGAUACAGACAGAGACUGUAAUGAAUAGACAAAUUCCCUCGGGCUUCUAACUCCCAACACUG